AAAAAAUACACAUGUACUCAUUUUAUUGGAUUAAAUCCAUACACCACUAUAAAACAAUUACACAACCGACACCUUUCUGGGGUACCCAUCCUUAUUCGGCAAGAUUUACCACCAUACUGGCUCAUCUAUACAUACUCACAUAUAUCAUAACAAAAAAGAGGACGAGCAGCACUCCCUUCAUCAUCUCACAUCCUAGUGUUUGACAAAAACUAGCUGAACACCCCAAUUCCUCUACCCUAAGACCAACGCCAACCAUGGUGAAGAAGACAAGAGAGUUGUUUCUCUGUUUCACAUCCAUCUUCGCCACCUACUGGCAAGCUUAGCAGGAAAACCUCCAUUUUCAGUGAACAAGAAGCAACCAUCAUCCCUGCUCUCUUCGACAAAAAAUGCCACCAUAUCCUCCUUCAAACCAACCAUCUGCUUCUCCCAUUUUUAGCCAUGUGAGGUCACUUUUAUCCACUUGAACUCCAGCUGAAAAUCAACAACAAUCACAACCCCAAACACACCCGAAAAUCACCUAAAAAAAUUGUCCCUUCUCGCGAAAGAGCAGCUCCAAGGUUGAAUUCGAAUCAGCCGGCGAGCUUAAGUUCGAGUGAGCUCCGGUCUUGGUUCGUGAGUCCCGAACACGUUUGUUGGAGUGUUUGUAAUUUGAUAAAAAAAAGAUAGAUCAAUUAAAAAGGUCCGCUCCUUUUCACCAUUACUUUGGCAGAGUAAUCUUUGUGUGAAAUUUGCUUGUUCUUAUGACUACAAGUGUGGAUUUGCUUAUUGUUUUCCUCUGUUAUCAUAUAACAUGAUUUUCAUUCAACAUUAUUUCCAGGUCGAAGUUGAGAUCUAUGACUUUUUUCUUAUAAUUUAUUUGAAUUUGUUAUUUAGUUUGGAAUGUUUCUUAAAUAAAUAGCGAGGCAUGUUUGUUUUUUGUUCA
Molecule: long non-coding RNA, 922 nt
Filed under: Nicotiana benthamiana
Lineage: Eukaryota; Viridiplantae; Streptophyta; Magnoliopsida; Solanales; Solanaceae
Description: long non-coding RNA (NBEN_LNC040861)
Source: RNAcentral